GCUUAGCUCAGUUGGUUACAGCAUGGUACUGAUAGCGCCAUGGUUGCAGGUUCGAUCCCCAUAUGGGGCU
This is a non-coding RNA of Podarcis lilfordi (Lilford's wall lizard), 70 nucleotides long. NCBI's taxonomy places the organism in Eukaryota, Metazoa, Chordata, Lepidosauria, Squamata, Lacertidae. The record is from the annotation of a GenBank genome assembly.